RNAcentral lists this ribosomal RNA (320 nucleotides) under uncultured bacterium. RNAcentral describes it as "bacterial SSU rRNA". It matches the Rfam family "Bacterial small subunit ribosomal RNA", at positions 470 to 789 of the family's 1533-position model. The record is from RNAcentral.
UGACGGUACCUGACUAAGAAGCACCGGCUAAAUACGUGCCAGCAGCCGCGGUAAUACGUAUGGUGCAAGCGUUAUCCGGAUUUACUGGGUGUAAAGGGAGCGUAGACGGCGAGGCAAGUCUGAAGUGAAAUGCGGGGGCUCAACCCCUGAACUGCUUUGGAAACUGUUUUGCUAGAGUGCAGGAGAGGUAAGUGGAAUUCCUAGUGUAGCGGUGAAAUGCGUAGAUAUUAGGAGGAACACCAGUGGCGAAGGCGGCUUACUGGACUGUAACUGACGCUGAGGUUCGAAAGCGUGGGUAGCAAACAGGAUUAGAUACCCUG